CUACGGGAGGCAGCAGUGGGGAAUAUUGCACAAUGGGCGCAAGCCUGAUGCAGCCAUGCCGCGUGUAUGAAGAAGGCCUUCGGGUCGUAAAGUACUUUCAGCGGGGAGGAAGGGAGUAAAGUUAAUACCUCUGCUCAUUGACGUUACCCGCAGAAGAAGCACCGGCUAACUCCGUGCCAGCAGCCGCGGUAAUACGGAGGUGCAAGCGUUAAUCGGAAUUACUGGGCGUAAAGCGCACGCAGGCGGUUUGUUAAGUCAGAUGUGAAAUCCCCGGGCUCAACCUGGGAACUGCAUCUGAAACUGGGAGGCUUGAGUGUCGGAGAGGGGGGUAGAAUUCCAAGUGUAGCGGUGAAAUGCGUAGAGAUCUGGAGGAAUACCGGUGGCGAAGGCGGCCCCCUGGACGAUGACUGACGCUCAGGUGCGAAAGCGUGGGGAGCAAACAGGAUUAGAUACCCGGGUAGUC
This 463-nucleotide ribosomal RNA is filed under the name uncultured bacterium. Its description in RNAcentral is "partial 16S ribosomal RNA". It matches the Rfam family "Bacterial small subunit ribosomal RNA", at positions 339 to 795 of the family's 1533-position model. The record is from RNAcentral.